RNAcentral lists this long non-coding RNA (502 nucleotides) under Sinocyclocheilus anshuiensis. RNAcentral's name for it is "lncRNA (ENSSANG00000016958.1)". The record is from RNAcentral. Lineage: Eukaryota; Metazoa; Chordata; Actinopteri; Cypriniformes; Cyprinidae.
CGAGAAACUCUAUUCUAAGGCUCAUGAAGUACAAACGUCGUGUCGCGAUGCGCCUCAGGUAGAGCGCGUGCACAUUAACUGCUUUGAACUGCAUGUAGCGCUUUAGCCAAACCCAGUGUGUUGGAUUUAAACAGUCCAGUUUUGACACAUUUGCUUUGCUCAACCGAGUAUAGGCGCUAAGCCCAGGGAUUUCACCUCGUCCUUGAGAGACCAGCACAAAUCAACCCAAAUAAAACAUCCCGACACUGUUCACCUCUACCGGAGGGUCGUUUUCCUUCGAGACACGUGGACGAAGCCGUACACAGCAUUAGGGACAGAAGAGACGCAGCCUCUAUAGAGGGACUCAGACAGGGUGGGAGGAGAUCCCAGCAGGUAAAAAGACCCACCGCAGGUCACGACCACAAACAGCAUAUCAGCUGGCUAUUUCUGAACAGGCCAUUGUGUCUGAUUUCUGUCCACACAGACACACACACACACACACACGCGCACACACACACACACG